AUUGAACGCUGGCGGCAGGCCUAACACAUGCAAGUCGAACGGUAACAGGAAGCAGCUUGCUGCUUUGCUGACGAGUGGCGGACGGGUGAGUAAUGUCUGGGAAACUGCCCGAUGGAGGGGGAUAACUACUGGAAACGGUAGCUAAUACCGCAUAACGUCGCAAGACCAAAGAGGGGGACCUUAGGGCCUCUUGCCAUCGGAUGUGCCCAGAUGGGAUUAGCUAGUAGGUGGGGUAACGGCUCACCUAGGCGACGAUCCCUAGCUGGUCUGAGAGGAUGACCCGCCACACUGGAACUGAGACACGGUCCAGACUCCUACGGGAGGCAGCAGUGGGGAAUAUUGCACAAUGGGCGCAAGCCUGAUGCAGCCAUGCCGCGUGUAUGAAGAAGGCCUUCGGGUUGUAAAGUACUUUCAGCGGGGAGGAAGGGAGUAAAGUUAAUACCUUUGCUCAUUGACGUUACCCGCAGAAGAAGCACCGGCUAACUCCGUG
RNAcentral lists this ribosomal RNA (490 nucleotides) under uncultured bacterium. Its description in RNAcentral is "partial 16S ribosomal RNA". It matches the Rfam family "Bacterial small subunit ribosomal RNA", at positions 30 to 507 of the family's 1533-position model. The record is from RNAcentral.